RNAcentral lists this non-coding RNA (88 nucleotides) under Halolamina rubra. RNAcentral's name for it is "eL15-Euryarchaeota ribosomal protein leader". It matches the Rfam family "eL15-Euryarchaeota ribosomal protein leader". Lineage: Archaea; Methanobacteriati; Methanobacteriota; Halobacteria; Halobacteriales; Haloferacaceae. The record is from RNAcentral.
CCCGAUAGCUCGGGACGAAAUGUGGUCGAAAGAGGCGCGACGCGCCUCCCGAGGCGGCGGAGCCGCCGACAUUCGACUGAAUCGCAAG